UUUCCGUAGGUGAACCUGCGGAAGGAUCAUUACUGAGGUAUGCUCGGUGUCGCGUCAGCGCGCCGGUUACCCGUCCUUAUGUCAUCUGCGCUGGAUCUCCGCUGCCUUCGGGUGGGCGGGGAGUCAGGAACAUCAUUUCGGUCGAGGUGUUGUGUCUCGUCUGCAACUUUGCAGGAGGGAUAUGACCGCGACCGGUCGUAUUUUACGCUCUUUUGAGAACAUGAAGUCUGAAAACAAAACAAAAAUUGAAGCAAAACUUUCAACAACGGAUCUCUUGGCUCUGGCAUCGAUGAAGAACGCAGC
RNAcentral lists this unclassified non-coding RNA (303 nucleotides) under uncultured fungus. RNAcentral describes it as "sequence contains ITS1, 5.8S rRNA gene". The stretch from base 255 to 303 matches the Rfam family "5.8S ribosomal RNA", at positions 1 to 49 of the family's 154-position model. Lineage: Eukaryota; Fungi. The record is from RNAcentral.